AACGUAGGACGCAAGCGUUAUCCGGAGUUACUGGGCGUAAAGGGCGCGUAGGCGGCGUGACAAGUCACUUGUGAAAUCUCCGGGCUUAACUCGGAACGGUCAAGUGAUACUGUCGUGCUAGAGUACAGAAGGGGCAACUGGAAUUCUCGGUGUAGCGGUGAAAUGCGUAGAUAUCGAGAGGAACACCUGCGGCGAAGGCGGGUUGCUGGGCUGAUACUGACGCUGAGGCGCGAAAGCCAGGGGAGCGAACGGG
This 253-nucleotide ribosomal RNA is filed under the name uncultured bacterium. Its description in RNAcentral is "partial 16S ribosomal RNA". It matches the Rfam family "Bacterial small subunit ribosomal RNA", at positions 524 to 776 of the family's 1533-position model. The record is from RNAcentral.